Molecule: ribosomal RNA, 494 nt
Filed under: uncultured bacterium
Lineage: Bacteria
Description: bacterial SSU rRNA
Rfam family: Bacterial small subunit ribosomal RNA
Source: RNAcentral
AGAGUUUGAUCCUGGCUCAGAGUGAACGCUGGCGGCGUGCCUAACACAUGCAAGUCGAACGAUGAUAGGAAGCUUGCUUCCUUGAUUAGUGGCGCACGGGUGAGUAUACCAUAGAUAAUGUACCUCUUAGUUCGGGAUAGCCACUGGAAACGGUGAUUAAUACCGGAUACUCCUUCUUGUCUUAAGGCGAGUCGGGAAAGUUUUUUCGCUAAGAGAUCAGUCUAUGUCCUAUCAGCUAGUUGGUGAGGUAAUGGCUCACCAAGGCUAUGACGGGUAUCUGGUUUGAGAGGAUGAUCAGACACACUGGAACUGAGACACGGUCCAGACUCCUACGGGAGGCAGCAGUGAGGAAUAUUGCACAAUGGAGGAAACUCUGAUGCAGCAACGCCGCGUGGAGGAUGACGCAUUUCGGUGUGUAAACUCCUUUUAAGAGGGAAGAUAAUGACGGUACCUCUUGAAUAAGCACCGGCUAACUCCGUGCCAGCCGCCGCGGU